AUUGAACGCUGGCGGCAUGCCUUACACAUGCAAGUCGAACGGCAGCACGGGUGCUUGCACCUGGUGGCGAGUGGCGAACGGGUGAGUAAUACAUCGGAACGUACCUUAUCGUGGGGGAUAACGCAGCGAAAGUUGCGCUAAUACCGCAUACGCCCUGAGGGGGAAAGCGGUGGACCGUAAAGCCUCGCGCGAUUAGAGCGGCCGAUGUCUGAUUAGCUUGUUGGUGAGGGAAAAGCUCACCAAGGCGAUGAUCAGUAGCUGGUCUGACAGGACGAUCAGCCACGCUGGGAGUGAGGCAAGGCCCAGACGCCUACGGGAGGCAGCUAUGGGGUAUUAUGGACAAUGGGCGGAACCUUGCUCCAGCCAUGCGGCGUGAGUGAAGAAGGCCUUCGGGUUGUAACGCUCUGUCGUCAGGGAGCAAACACCGGCUGUUACCCAGCGCGGGAAUGACGGUACCUGAAGAGUAAGCACUGGCUAACUGCGUGGCAGCCGCCGCCGUAA
This 501-nucleotide ribosomal RNA is filed under the name uncultured bacterium. RNAcentral's name for it is "partial 16S ribosomal RNA". It matches the Rfam family "Bacterial small subunit ribosomal RNA", at positions 29 to 523 of the family's 1533-position model. The record is from RNAcentral.